UACGGAGGGGGUUAGCGUUGUUCGGAAUGACUGGGCGUAAAGCGUGCGCAGGCGGUUUUGUAAGUCUGUCGUGAAAGCCCCGGGCUCAACCUGGGAAUUGCGAUGGAGACUGCAAGGCUUGAAUCUGGCAGAGGGGGGUAGAAUUCCACGUGUAGCAGUGAAAUGCGUAGAGAUGUGGAGGAACACCGAUGGCGAAGGCAGCCCCCUGGGUCAAGAUUGACGCUCAUGCACGAAAGCGUGGGGAGCAAACAGG
Molecule: ribosomal RNA, 253 nt
Filed under: uncultured bacterium
Lineage: Bacteria
Description: partial 16S ribosomal RNA
Rfam family: Bacterial small subunit ribosomal RNA
Source: RNAcentral